Molecule: long non-coding RNA, 2217 nt
Organism: Centropristis striata (black sea bass)
Lineage: Eukaryota; Metazoa; Chordata; Actinopteri; Perciformes; Serranidae
Exons: 3
Source: RefSeq, a predicted model, not a curated record
GGUUUUGGAAGUUGGCAUUAUUUCGCGAAGGUUUUUAUAUGUUUGGAAAGUUAUAUUUCCAGCUCAUUCACCUUCCCAAAUUAAUAUGCUGACUUCCAAAACCAAAACUUUUACUUCCAAAGCCAAUAUCAAGGUUUGCAUUCAUUCUGCAUCAUAUGUGCAUGUAUGUAUUGUAGUGCCACACGUCUGUCUAAACCAACGUUUGCAAAAUUUCUGUAUCAACUCACAAUUCACAAACUGCAAACUCACUGAGAUAAGGCUUUCCAUCAGUGGCGAACAAACGAGCAGUGGAAAGUACACAGCAUGGAGAGGCGUCUUUUGUUGGAGUUGUCAUUUCACCAUCUCACUUACUUUCCUACCAGAGAACCAUUUAGGUUUGCUGGUUUCAAUCCUUCAUAUAACAUGGUAAGUCAUCAUGCUUUAUUCAUUGUUUUGGUCUAAUCAGGGCACUUUCAAUUUCAAAGUGCAAUUCACUUUUAAACCACUGUUUUAAAUAUGAACAGCUGUACAUAUGCAUUAGUCAUGUUUACAUUUAUGAUCUAGAAGUAGUCAACAACUUUGCUAACAACAACAAAAAGACCACAUUGUUGUCUGCCCGCAGCCUUUUACUUAAUGAAGCUCUCCAGGCUUGAAAACCUCCUCCUAUUACCAGUCCAAAGUUCUGGACUGGUACUUCCUUGUAUUUUUGUGUACUUUGGCCACUGUCUUUGACUGUUUUAUUGUUUCAUUCUUGAUAGGGACAUGUAAUGAUGUCUCUUCCUUGGCAUUUCUCUUUUCACAGAACUUCAUGACAGCCUUUACAAGUACAUCUUUGGAAAUGUUGUCCAAUGCCUGUUGGCCAGAGGAGAUGUAUUAAAGAGACUCACCAAUCAGCAUAGGGAUGGAAGGAUUAACCACAUUUUGGUCGAGCUCAUAAUGUUCAUCACAUCAGCCUGAUCUCCUUGCAUUUAAGUUUUAUCCUGCUUUCAGUUUAUAGGUUAUAAUGGGAACUGCCCAACCAAUGCUUCAUGUUUAAGUGUGAUUGCUGCCCAUUUAUGUUGUUUUGGGUCCAUUGCUGAACUGCAACCAUAUUUAGGGAGAACCCACUGGUGGCUCGCUUUGUCUUCAAUCGAUGUCUGUUCAAUGAUAAUAACGACAUGUGGCAAUUCACAAGCUGCAAACUCACUGAGAUAAGGUUUUGCAGCAAUGGUGAUCAAAAAAGCAAUGGAAAGUACAAAGAAUGGCAUCUUUUGUGGAGUUGCUUUUGUGCACCAUCUCAGUUAUUUUUCCAACAGAGAACCAUUUAGGAUUGCUGGUUUUAAUGCUUCAUAUAACAUGAAUCAGAUGGAUGACAUGAUUUAUCAAAUAAAUCACUCUCCUAAUUGUUCCAAUUGAGCUCUUUCACUGGACAAGGGUGCAAGAGUACAGUUAGGCUUCAAUAUUGUUAAUCUAAGAAGUGCAACAUUAACAUUCACAUUCCUAUUGCAUGUUUGAUGCCAACCUUAUUUUACCAAUUCAGCCUAUUGACCGGAGAAGGAGCACUGCAGCAUGUCCCUAUACGUGUAACAGGACACAGAGUUUAGGUAGGUUGUGAACCGACCUUUUGUAGGUGCAUCCUACUGUCUAAAGACUGUGUUUUUAAUGACAGUGAAAUACUGGAUCAUUGACAUUGGACUAAGUUUUUGUUGGUCAAUGGUGAAAAAAGCUUUCUGCUGCCUCAAGAUGGAAAGGUGCUGACCACACUUUAUCUAAAAUCGGUGCACUGAUGGAUGGAAGUGCAUUUACUACUUAAACAAGUUAGGUGUGAAAAUGAGAACUGAAACUAGCAGUCACACUGCACUGCUGUACAUGUGUUAGAUAGGGCCCGGACUAUUUAUUAGUAUAAUCUAACAUAAUAAAAAAAAACCUUUAAUCCAGAAAUCUAUAUUUGAAGUCCCCUUUUAUAAUUAUUUGAAAAAAUCACUUAAUGCCCAAAAAAGACUAAAUCCCUUGGGGAGUAUUGCCCCCCUGUUCCACUAGGUGUCCCUGUCCUGCUGGUUUGUCCUUUGUGUUUCAAGUUCCAGGUCUGUUCGGAGGGUCGGCAUCUGUUCAUGAGCAACACCUGGGCCUGAGUCGGUUUACUGGACAUAGAAUUGCAUCACCCUUCCCCUGGACUCUCUGCCCUGUGGACGGAGCUGUUUACAUCUGAUUGCUGACUUCCACAUUUAUUUUCUGUUCCUCAUAUUUUGUAAAUAAAAA